Molecule: small RNA, 554 nt
Filed under: Pan troglodytes (chimpanzee)
Lineage: Eukaryota; Metazoa; Chordata; Mammalia; Primates; Hominidae
Description: processed transcript
Source: RNAcentral
CUUUCUUGCCUCGGUGAUCCACCAGCCUUGUCACCCAGGAUUUAGAUUGGCAGAUUCGUCUCUCGCCUUUGGAAUUUCUACCUUCUCCUAGGUUUUGUUUUUUAAAAUCAGGCCUAUGAUACCGCUCAUGGGCUCAUAUUUAUUUUAGCAUUGUAAUUUAAGUUGUAUUUUAUGCAACUCUACCCCGAUACAGAGAGCUGUUGAUGUAACUGCAGCGAGCAAAUGGAAGACUAGAGACUAGCGAAGGGGCCGAGACUUCGUCUCCAGAGUAUCCCUGUCAGCAUCCAUCAACUGCACUCAUAUAUUGAAUGCAGCUCCUAUCCGCCUUUCUUUUCGACUUCUUCAUGCCGUUACCACUCUUCAUCAUAAGCGGCGGGCUCGCCAGCCUCGAGCGAAAGUGUGACUGCGAACGGGCAGGCGCGCGCGGGGCUCGGCGGAGGCGCGCUUGGGCUCCCGGCGGCGACGACUACGACCACUAGGAGAGCGGACGGAGGCGGCGCCUGAAGCGGCGGCGGAGCCCAUGCCCCGGGACGGCGGGUGGGCCCGGAGAGACA